ACAUUAUAUUUCCAUUUUUGCAAACUCACAAAGAAUUAUUUUUAAAUGCUAAAACACACACUAGAUGUCACGGCCAGGCGGAUCAGCUGCACGCUGAUCAGCCCUCUCUGUUUCUCUUCCUCUUCUCUCUCGCCGGGGCGGAACUCACUGUGGGUUCAUGCCCUUGGUCCACGCCCUCGGGAGAUGAGACCCAGGUGUCUCAUUAAGGGGAGCAGCAUUUAAGCCAGGAGGUGACUGCUGUUCGUCGCUGGAUCGUUGUCUACCACGCAACCUCUUGGAUUUUUCCCCGUGUGGCAGUGUUGGAGUGUGAACCUGUGAUCGUGUGAGUGGAUAUUCUGAAGAACGUAUGCUUUCCCUUGGACUUCCCUGGAGACCCCUUCUUCCCCCACUCAGCUGUAUAUAACACCCCCCUGCACAUUCUUGUAUAUACACCUGGUGACUUGUAAAUAAACUCUUCUUGUAAGCAUCA
This is a long non-coding RNA of Maylandia zebra (zebra mbuna), 469 nucleotides long. RefSeq lists it as uncharacterized. Lineage: Eukaryota; Metazoa; Chordata; Actinopteri; Cichliformes; Cichlidae. The record is from RefSeq and is a predicted model, not a curated record.